Molecule: transfer RNA, 74 nt
Filed under: Hertwigia falcifera
Lineage: Eukaryota; Metazoa; Porifera; Hexactinellida; Lyssacinosida; Euplectellidae
Description: tRNA-Cys
Source: RNAcentral
AGACAAUAAAGCAUAACCCCCCAUCAUGCAUCAAUUUGCAAAAUUGAAGAUUGUGAACCACACACUACUGUCUA